UAAGUGUUCUCUGUUGGGGUGA
Molecule: microRNA, 22 nt
Filed under: Sarcophilus harrisii (Tasmanian devil)
Lineage: Eukaryota; Metazoa; Chordata; Mammalia; Dasyuromorphia; Dasyuridae
Description: Sha-Mir-430-o13_3p (mature (guide))
Source: RNAcentral